UACGGAAGGCAGCAGUGGGGAAUAUUGCACAAUGGGCGAAAGCCUGAUGCAGCUAUGCCGCGUGUAUGAAGAAGGCCUUAGGGUUGUAAAGUACUUUCAUCGGGGAGGAAAAAACAAAACUAAUAAUUUUAUUUCUUGACGUUACCCGAAAAAGAAGCACCGGCUAACUCCGUGCCAGCAGCCGCGGUAAUACGGAGGGUGCUAGCGUUAAUCAGAAUUACUGGGCGUAAAAGAGCACGUAGGUGGUUUUUUUAAAGUCAGAUGUGAAAUCCCUGGGCUUAACCUAGGAACUGCAUUUUGAAAACUGAAAAUACUAGAGUAUCGUAGAGGGAGGUAGAAUUCUAGGUGUAGCGGUGAAAUGCGUAGAUAUCUGGAGGAAUACCUGUGGCGAAAGCGGCCUCCUAAACGAAUACUGACACUGAGGUGCGAAAAGCAUGGGGAGCAAAACAGGGAUUAGAUACC
RNAcentral lists this ribosomal RNA (462 nucleotides) under uncultured bacterium. Its description in RNAcentral is "bacterial SSU rRNA". It matches the Rfam family "Bacterial small subunit ribosomal RNA", at positions 340 to 786 of the family's 1533-position model. The record is from RNAcentral.